Molecule: unclassified non-coding RNA, 3133 nt
Organism: Orbicella faveolata
Lineage: Eukaryota; Metazoa; Cnidaria; Anthozoa; Scleractinia; Merulinidae
Source: RefSeq, a predicted model, not a curated record
AUGUUUACACAGGAAGGUUUUGCGGAAAGCGAAAUAUUUGCAUCUGCAUCGCAAGUCUCGGUAAAUUUGUAGCUUUUAACAAUGAAACUGACUACCUUCCGACCAUGACGCGCAGAAUUUUGACACUUCUUGGUGAGAUAUAAGGGUUUCUAUAGGUGUUGGGCUUUUUAAUGUAGCCUGAAGCAAGACGAAAUUUAUUACCUUAUAUGGAAUAUUUCGAGCUGUUUCCGCACAAACGUUACGCACGUGCAUUCCUGUGGAUUCAUGAUGGAUGUUACGCAUUAUAGACAAAACAGUUUAUUCUCCGUAAUGUUCUUUAGUCUACAGCUUGCUGGUCAAAAUCUUUUGCGAGCGCUUUCGUAUCGUUCAGCAAAGCUUAAAGCUGCUCUUCGAUACAUACGCGACUUCUCCUGAUACUAACAAUACAAUGCUAAGCGGAUACGUGAUGAGAAAAUAGGAAGACAUCGACAGACAACAAAGAAUUGAUGUAGUGCCAAAUUCUCAGCAGGAACAUUUAAAGAAAUGUCUGGAAACCACUGACGCGUUAAAGAUCGUCUCGCUAUCACACGGCAUGUGAAGUUUUCUCCUGAUUCAAUUCAACUGGUUAGCUAUUAGAGGCUGGUCAUGAUGUAAAGGACACAUCAGGCUGAAAUCGUCUGAUGCUUAAGGUAUAGCCAUAGACGCAGUUAUGUUAUAUAAAUCCAUCUUGUUCUAAUCUGGCGACAGUUGCAAAAGACCACAAAACGGGCUUGUGACAUAAAUACUAUUAAGAUUUAUAACCUUUGCUGUAGUAAACAUUCUUACAAGUCUGUAAUUUUAGUCUACUAGGCCGCAAAUUCUAUUAAAGCAUCCCAAUAUUUCAUAUACUGUGGCUAAAAAUCUUUGUAGCUCUGAACCUGAGCAAAAUUUUUCUCUAUCAGAACUUUACAGUAUUUUCUCCCUCGGAAUAACCACUGGACGAUUUAUUGGGAUAACAUCGACCCACUUUGCUUCGAUAUGUGCUGAACUGAGCUCGCUUAUGUUCUCGUUAAUGUAUCUAUUCUGCAUGCAGACUUGAGAAAGAUUAAAGGUUAGGAACGCCAGAAUCCUAGUGAUAAGCACAAAGCGAAACUGAAACCCAUUGGCGCCAGUCGCGUCAAUUUGAUGCAUGGAAAUUUGGGGAAACGUUGAUUGGCGCGUCUUAGGAUAUUGCAAGAGCUUACUUAGAUUGAUUGGCUCCUGGAAGGUUAUAGGAAGAAAGAGAGUAUUAUAAAAUCGAGCGACGCGCAAAUUUCUGUGGCUUUAACAACAGUACAAACAGGAAGUUACAUGUAGUAUAACUUAUUUUUUUCUGCUAAUUUUAGUUUGUCUUGCGGCAGUCUCGUGAUCAUCUAGGGCCGAUCAACAACAGUCAAGGUCAGCCUUUUGCAGUUUGUUUUGUCUAAGUUAUCGGCUAGCUUUUAGCAGUUGGUCUCGCGAUAUUUUGAGUCAUACCGGCUCUGAGAGUCAAGAGGUUCUCAGUACCUCUUAGCACAAGCUGGUUGGCAGCCAACAUUUCAUUCCCGAAGAUGACUCCUUCCACCGGUGUUAUGAUAUAGUUUUCCCACAAAAUAAAUCUCAUCCCUAAAACGAUGCGCCUAUUCCAAGAACGAGAAAACUGAUUUUCUCACAGGUAGCACAAGCUCAGUAUGUGAGCGUCAUAAUAUCGACAUAAUGUAAGGGUUCAACCCUAAUUAAUUAUACAGAGCGUAGUUAAUAAUUAGACAUUGCAUGGAACAUACUUCUGUCGCUGUUAAGUGUACGAAAUGGACAUUAAAAUUUUCCUUUAAACUCACCUAAGUUGUUUUCUUGUCGUUUCUUACGAUUUUACAGCGUUAAAGGCAUCUUAAGACUUUUUGUGAGCAGGGUGGUUAUCCCUCUAAGGGUGGAAAAUAAAAGCCUUACUCCGUGGCUAAGCUGUAAAAUCGAGAUCAUCUACGCUGUGUUUGCUUAAACUUCGUUUUUUGGGCAUAAUCCAAGAUUGGAUUCUUAAAAUCUAAAAACAGAUUCAGUUACGUUUAUUUACUAAAAUCACUCGCGCGGAUCAUGGUACAACAAGGGAACCGAAGUAUCCACUCUGGGCAAGGACCCUUCUGUCAGAUUGACCACCAGUCUGUCUGCAGAAAAAUACUGUUAAGUUCAAAAUAUUAAAAAGCGCACAGCUUGUUAUCGAUCAGUUCAAUCCUUUUAUUAUGAUAUUGGUCCAGGAUCAAAACGGGCAAACUGAAAUUUGCUCUUACUGAUAAUAAAUGGGGCACUUGAACUGUACACGGGCUUUUAUAAAUUUUAACAUUUUUCUACAACAAUUCUUCGCUUCUGUUGGAUGUCCUUUUGGUGUUAAAGAGUGUCUUUUUAGUUUUUCAGAAUUGUGGUUAAAAUAGCUAGUGAUACUUUUUGUUGAUUUAUCCCAUUAGAUCACAGAACCGAGUUGUACAGUUUAAGUCUGCAACUGACCAAGUUCAACCCAGCUGAAAACAUUUAUUCUUAAUUUCUUCCGUAGUUUUAAGCAGCACAAGCUUGGAAACCUAACCAGACUCCCAUCAUUCAUGGCAAGGAGAGAAACCAAUGGCACGACACCGCCUGUGGAAGGAACAUUGGAUUUUGAGGACGACACUUUAAGAGCGAUAGCAGAGGUGUACAACGAUGACGGCAAUGAUGAAUUCAAAAAGAAGGAAUUCAAUAACGCCUUACACUUCUACACGGAGGGAAUUAAAGUGAACUGCAACGAUAAGGAACUGAUCGCAAAGCUGUACAGUAACAGAGCAACAGCCCAUUUCUAUUUGGGAAAUUUUCACGACACACUGAAUGACGUAAAAGCUGCCAAUGAGUUGCAACCUUCCUACAUCAAACCCAUAGAGAGAGGUGAGGUUUGUUGGGAAGUCAAAAGGUGUCUAAUUGCUCCUAACCAAACCUUUUUAAAAAAUAUCUUGCGAAUCCCGGGGUCGUUUCAAAAAAUUUCUAGUCCAGGAAAGUUUUGUUUCAAUUUUGUUGCACAACAUUUUUUAAUUCUAAAAUUUACUUUGGAAGUAUUUAAAAGAUCUGGUCCAUUUAUUAAUUGAUUUUUUGAUUGCUUGCUUGAUUGAUUAAUUGGUUGGUUGAUUGACUGAUUGAUUGA